GUGCUUCCUCGGAGCAUCACAUGGCAGGCAGAUCUCAAUAUGCAUAUUUACGGCUGGCUUGCAACCUCCGCUGCAUCCUUUCUGUGCAUGGUAACGAGGUGCUUUUCUUCUGCCAUGAGACCUACACGUGUCACGCUCGCUUGUGGCAUCGUCCUCAUUGCAGUUCCACGUGGAAGAGCAGAGCCUCCCAUGCCCAGACCCUCCUGCUUGGCCGCUGCCUGAGGAUGCGUGUCUUGCCAAGGUUUUGCCUUAAGCAGAGGAAGGAUGAAAAAUGCAGGGCCAGAGACUUUCUUACAGCUGAAAACCGCUGUCUGCUGCGCUGCUCCUCGGGACAGCACCGAGCAGGGAAACGCCUCCGCCACCCAGCAGUCAUUCUCUUCAUAGUGGGACAAGUGCAGAAUGGUGGAGGGGAAGCUCGGAUGGUGGUCCUGUCCAGGGAGACGCAGCCUCAUGUCUCCCACCCUCCUCCGCUUUGAUGACUGAACAUGUAGGACCGUUCUCAGGACUCGCUGUGCACUUUGCCUCCCGACCUCCUGUUUUGCUGCAGGACCCCACAGAGCACACCCCUGAAAUCAGCCUUGCACAUACAAGGAG
Molecule: long non-coding RNA, 594 nt
Organism: Gallus gallus (chicken)
Lineage: Eukaryota; Metazoa; Chordata; Aves; Galliformes; Phasianidae
Source: Ensembl